Molecule: ribosomal RNA, 497 nt
Filed under: uncultured bacterium
Lineage: Bacteria
Description: bacterial SSU rRNA
Rfam family: Bacterial small subunit ribosomal RNA
Source: RNAcentral
AGUUUGAUCGAUCGGCUCAGGAUGACGCUAGCGGCAGGCUUAACACAUGCAAGUCGAGGGUAUAGUCUUCGGAAUUAGAGACCGGCGCACGGGUGCGUAACGCGUAUGCAAUCUACCUUUCACAAAGGGAUUAGCCCAAGAGAAAUUUGGAUUAAUACCUUAUAGUAAUACGACUUGGCAUCAAGAUGUAUUUAAAGAUUUAUCGGUGAAAGAUGAGCAUGCGUCCCAUUAGCUUGUUGGUAAGGUAACGGCUUACCAAGGCAACGAUGGGUAGGGGUCCUGAGAGGGAGAUCCCCCACACUGGUACUGAGACACGGACCAGACUCCUACGGGAGGCAGCAGUGAGGAAUAUUGGACAAUGGGCGCAAGCCUGAUCCAGCCAUGCCGCGUGCAGGAUGACGGUCCUAUGGAUUGUAAACUGCUUUUGUACAGGAAGAAACCCUUUCACGUGUGGAAGAUUGACGGUACUGUAAGAAUAAGGAUCGGCUAACUCCGUG